Molecule: ribosomal RNA, 474 nt
Filed under: Streptococcus sp. canine oral taxon 279
Lineage: Bacteria; Bacillati; Bacillota; Bacilli; Lactobacillales; Streptococcaceae
Description: bacterial SSU rRNA
Rfam family: Bacterial small subunit ribosomal RNA
Source: RNAcentral
GAGUUUGAUUAUGGCUCAGGACGAACGCUGGCGGCGUGCCUAAUACAUGCAAGUAGAACGCUGAAGGAAUAGCUUGCUAUUCUGGAAGAGUUGCGAACGGGUGAGUAACGCGUAGGUAACCUACCUCAUAGCGGGGGAUAACUAUUGGAAACGAUAGCUAAUACCGCACUAAGAAUACUUAUUGCAUGAUAAGUAUUUAAAAGGAACAACUGUUUCACUGUGAGAUGGACCUGCGUUGUAUUAGCUAGUUGGUAAGGUAACGGCUUACCAAGGCGACGAUACAUAGCCGACCUGAGAGGGUGAUCGGCCACACUGGGACUGAGACACGGCCCAGACUCCUACGGGAGGCAGCAGUAGGGAAUCUUCGGCAAUGGGGGCAACCCUGACCGAGCAACGCCGCGUGAGUGAAGAAGGUUUUCGGAUCGUAAAGCUCUGUUGUCAGCCAAGAAUGUAUGUGAGAGUGGAAAGUUCACA